UGCCACCUUGAUCAUCGACAUUCUCAG
Molecule: non-coding RNA, 27 nt
Filed under: Homo sapiens (human)
Lineage: Eukaryota; Metazoa; Chordata; Mammalia; Primates; Hominidae
Also listed under: 1 other name
Source: RNAcentral